Molecule: long non-coding RNA, 447 nt
Filed under: Ananas comosus (pineapple)
Lineage: Eukaryota; Viridiplantae; Streptophyta; Magnoliopsida; Poales; Bromeliaceae
Description: long non-coding RNA (ACOM_LNC010457)
Source: RNAcentral
UUUGAGCAUAUGUAUGUAUAUUGAGCAUAUUGCAUGGUAGGGUAAUUGUAAGCUUCUAUUUGCAUGUUAUGAGUUUAAAUGUAUGUGAAAUAUUUGUAAGAAUGUGAGAAAUUUAUUUACCCUAUAUAUGCAUGAGAAAUGACAAGAACUUAGUAGCUUUAGAGAACAAAAGUGACAUGACAACAUAAUUGUAGAAGGUGGCAUCGAUGAGUCAAGAUAUACUAGAGUGGACACUUAGAAAAGAAGUGUGGAAUCAAUGAUUGAGUAUAAGAACAAAGUAGUGUAUAUGACACUAGAAAAAGGUUAAAGAAUGCAAGUAAAUAGAGGUAGCGAUAUUAUGACAUAACAAGCUUAGAGUUAAGGGUCAUAUGUACACCGGUUCCUUUUAGUCAAGAAAUGGAUUGGACUUGACAUCCUUAUAGUUAAGGAUGGAAUCAUACUCACCUG